This 86-nucleotide transfer RNA is filed under the name Acetobacter estunensis. It matches the Rfam family "tRNA". From Rfam's summary of the family: Transfer RNA (tRNA) molecules are approximately 80 nucleotides in length. Their secondary structure includes four short double-helical elements and three loops (D, anti-codon, and T loops). Lineage: Bacteria; Pseudomonadati; Pseudomonadota; Alphaproteobacteria; Acetobacterales; Acetobacteraceae. The record is from Rfam by way of RNAcentral. RNAcentral also lists the same sequence under 1 other name.
GGAGAGGUGCCAGAGUGGUCGAUUGGGGCGGUCUCGAAAACCGUUGUGCCUUACGGGUACCGUGGGUUCGAAUCCCACCCUCUCCG